AUUCAAUUAUUAUAAAAAGUAUAUUAAGCUUCCAACUUUAAGGUUUAAAAAAAUUAAAUUGAAUA
Molecule: transfer RNA, 65 nt
Filed under: Bothrogonia tongmaiana
Lineage: Eukaryota; Metazoa; Arthropoda; Insecta; Hemiptera; Cicadellidae
Description: tRNA-Gly
Source: RNAcentral